This 489-nucleotide ribosomal RNA is filed under the name Pseudomonas sp. RNAcentral's name for it is "partial 16S ribosomal RNA". It matches the Rfam family "Bacterial small subunit ribosomal RNA", at positions 21 to 505 of the family's 1533-position model. The record is from RNAcentral. Lineage: Bacteria; Pseudomonadati; Pseudomonadota; Gammaproteobacteria; Pseudomonadales; Pseudomonadaceae.
GGCUCAGAUUGAACGCUGGCGGCAGGCCUAACACAUGCAAGUCGAGCGGUAGAGAGAAGCUUGCUUCUCUUGAGAGCGGCGGACGGGUGAGUAAUGCCUAGGAAUCUGCCUGGUAGUGGGGGAUAACGUUCGGAAACGGACGCUAAUACCGCAUACGUCCUACGGGAGAAAGCAGGGGACCUUCGGGCCUUGCGCUAUCAGAUGAGCCUAGGUCGGAUUAGCUAGUUGGUGAGGUAAUGGCUCACCAAGGCGACAAUCNGNAACUGGUCUGAGAGGAUGAUCAGUCACACUGGAACUGAGACACAGUCCAGACUCCUANNGGAGGCAGCAGUGGGGAAUAUUNNNCAAUGGGCGAAAGCCUGAUCCAGCCAUGCCGCGUGUGUGAAGANNNUCUUCGGAUUGUAAAGCACUUUAAGUUGGGAGGAAGGGCAGUUACCUAAUACGUGAUUGUUUUGACGUUNNNGACAGAAUAAGCACCGGCUAACUCUG